AAAUCUAUUUUGGAUUGAGAUUCCAAUUUGCCCCAAUUCAUUCGAAUACCCAACAACGUUCUUUUUCCUCUUCAAGGAAAAUUCCACGCGCCUCCUCCCCGACAAAACUUGACCCUGCUACUGUGAUUUCUGUUUCAUCACAUGGAUUCCAACGAACUAAUUUUGAUUUAAGUUUGAAUAAAUCUCAAUCUGCCUAUAAAUGCUCCUACCUGACAAGAAUGAAAAAAAAAAAAGAAGGAGAAUGGGGGAGAAACUUUCGGAGAAGAGGAGGCAUCUGGUCUCUUGAGUUCUGAUCUUGGUUCAUUUCUUUGGGUUGGGGUUCGAAGAUUGCUACUUAUUGGGGAUUUCCCCUUCUUCUAAAUUUUAUUUUUUUUUGGAAACCCCUUUAAAUAUGAAGUUUUGGGUUCACUAGUCUUGGCCGAUGUCAUGUUCCAUUCUGUUUGAGACAGUGAUGAGAAUAUAUAUAAAAAAAAAAAUGUCAAGGCAAGGGAGCUAAAGUAAUCCCAUCUCGGCGAGGCAACUUUGGAUGGCCAGAGAUAAUUGCGCAACUAGUUCGCAGCCAUUGGGACACCAUCAUUUCCCUUGUUAGGCCACCAUAUGGUAUUCCUGAGCCUCAACAUUUCACUACUGCUACUAUUACAGACUCAGCUUUGCAAAUUGACACCACCAGCCACGGUGGACAAGAAUACUAUUCAUCCUAGAAGGAGCAAGCGCGUGACAAUUCCCUCUAAAAGGUUGGCAGAUUUCAUUGUCAAACCUGGAUGACAAAAAGGUGACUAGCAAGUGGUGCAAGGAAAAGUAUAAUGAAUGGAAGUUUGUUAUAAGUAGCAGGGAGUAGGCAUAGUAAGAGCAUGCUAUUUUUAUGUGAAGUUAUCUAUCUUCUCAUCUCUUAUCUUCUUCUGUAUCCCAUCUCUUCUUCUUUUUAUUUGUUCUUCCAUAUUAGUUCAGUUGUUAAUCUCUUGUAAUUCCAAUUAGUGAUUGCAAUACUAGUGUUUCCUUGGUUA
This is a long non-coding RNA of Solanum dulcamara, 1004 nucleotides long. RefSeq lists it as uncharacterized. The transcript has 2 exons. Lineage: Eukaryota; Viridiplantae; Streptophyta; Magnoliopsida; Solanales; Solanaceae. The record is from RefSeq and is a predicted model, not a curated record.